UAACCUUAAAUUAGGUAGGAAUACCUACUAAACUUAAGUAUAUUAAUAAGUAAAGGAAAAGAAACUAAUAGGGAUUACCCUAGUAAUAGUAAGUAAAGUAAUAAUAGCUUAAAUUUAAAAUCUAGCCCCCUAGGGCCUAAGUUAUAAUUUAUAGAGAAUGCUUUUAGUAAGGCACCUUCUAAGUUCCCUAGAAUAAGAUACUAUAAAGGGUAAGAGCCUUAUCUAGUUAGAUACUAAGCCUUUAUAAAGCUUCUUUAAUAAGUUAAGUAGUUUAGGAAUACUACUCUAAAUAGGAGGUAUAUAUCUUCUAAAGCUAAAUAUUAGCUAGAGACUAAUAGUAUAUAAGUAAAGUAAUUAAAAAAUAAAAAGCACUUUAAAAAAAGGGUUAAAUAAUAUAUAAAAUUAUUAAAAGGGAAGCGCUUAUAACUAGACUUAGGCCUAGUAAAUUAUCUAGUAUUCUUACUAGUGCACUUUACUAGGCCUAGGCUAGUAUUAGUUUACCCUAGAGGAUAAAGGCUUUAGGAAUAUAGCUUCUCUAGGAGUGUUAUAGCUCUUUACGUAAUACCCUAGGGUAGACUAAGGUUUAUAUAUCUAUAAGAAUACUAGCGUAAUAGUUAUUAGUAACCUAUCUUAAAAUAUAGACUAAGGAGUUAUCCUUAUAUAUAAGUAUUUAGGUAUAAAACCCCUAUAUAUAAUAAAAGUAAAUAUAAGUAAGAGCUUUAGCGUAUUAUUAACUAAUCCUAAUAUUCUUAGAUAGAUUUAAGUAAGAGUAUAUAAGGCUAGACCUAAAAGAAAGUAAACUAUACCUAUAUAGGGUAAAGCUAGAGAAAACUCUAGUAAAGGCUUAUAGCGGUUCUAAUAUAUAAAUUAAUUAUUAAAUAUAGGUAUAGGGGUAAAAGACUAAUUAAACCUUCUAGUAGCUAGUUUCCGCUAAAGUUUUCCUUAGGAUAGUAGUGUUAAUCUUAGUUUUAUAAGGUAAAGCAAAUAAUUAGGGACUUAAGGGCUAUAUACUACCUUUAUCUAUUCUUAAACUUUAAAUAUAUAAGAAGCCCUUAUUAUUUAAUUAAAUAUAAGCAUUUAAAUAUAUUAACACUAGUAGGCUAUUUUUAGUAAGUAAAACUAGUAAUGUAGGAUAAACUAAACGCAAGGUUAAGGUGCUAGAGUAAACGCUUAUUAGAUACUAUAAAAGGUAUUAGUAUAUCUUAAUAGUAGGAUAGUAGCUAUAGAAGUUAGAAUUCGCUAAGGACUAUAUAAUAACUUACCUGCUAAAUAUACUAGCCUUAAAAAUAAAUAGUACUUAAGUAUUUUACCUAUACCUUACCCUUAGGGUAAAAAUAAAGCCCUAAGGAGUAGGUAAAUAUAGGGAUUAGUAAUAAAGCCUAGGGCAUAAGCCUAGGUUAAAUAGCCUUUAGUGUAAAUCUUAGUAGUAGUAGUAAAUACUUUAAUAAGAACUUAAAGGACUAAAGUAAGGAAAGGUUUUAUAUAAAUAGUAGUUAAAUAUAGGUUAGUUAAUCCUAAGCUAUAGGGAAGUUUUGUUUUAAAGGUAUACUUAUAUGCUAUCUAGUAAAAGGGAAGCUAGUUAAUAUUCUAGUACCUAGAUAUAGGUUUUAUGUAGUAAUAUAACUAAACGUGGAGAUAAUAGUAAGGGCCUUAAGUAAAGUUCUCUUUUUUUCUUAAUAGUCUCUUACUCUAAAAUUAGUUUAUCUAGAGAUAGAGUUUAAUAGCUAGAAAAGCCUAGCACUUUUGCUAGGUUUAGUGUGCUCCUAAUAUCCCUUAAAAAUCUAUAGGAAGGAAUAAUUCUUAUGCUAAGUUAUACUUAUAACUAUAGUAAGUCUCUAAGGUAAAUAGCCUCUAGUUAAUAGAAUAAUAUAGAUAAGGGAAGUUAGUAAAAUAAAUCUAUAACUUUAGGAAAAGAAUUAGCUCUAAGGGUUAGGUAUAUUAGGCCUUAGGAGGAUGCCCUAGGAGUAGGCAGCUACUAGCUAGGUAACUAGCUAGUAGUAGCUAGUAUUUAGGUACUAAUGCCCUUAGUAGGCCUUAGCUAUCUGGCGUAUAAUUAAUAACUAACUUAGAACUAGUAUAAAUAAGGGGAAUCUAACUGUCUAAUUAAAAUAUAGUAUUAUAAUAGCUAGAAAGUGGUGUUAAUAUAAUGUAAUUUCUGCCUAGUACUCUAAAUAUUAAAGUGAAGUAAUUUAACUAAGCAUAGGUAAAUAGUAGGAGUAACUAUAACUCUCUUAAGGUAGCUAAAUGCCUUAUUAUCUAAUUAGUAAUACAUAUAAAUAGAUUAAUAAGAUUCCUACUAUCCUUAUUUACUAUUUAGUAAAACUAUAGCUAAGGGAAUAGGCUUAGUAGAAUUAGCGGGGAAAGAAAACCUUAUUAAGCUUAACUCUAGUUUAAUAUUAUAAAAAGAUAUAGGAGGUGUAGAAUAGGUAGGAGCUUUAGUGCUAGUAAAAUACUACUACUCCUAUUAUUUUUUUACUUAUUUAAUAAAGUAAGGCUAGAUUUUUAUCUAACUUCUAGUUUUAAAGUCCUUUAUAGGCUAACCUAGGUUAAAGAUAUUAUUAGGUAGGGAGUUUAGCUAGGGUAGUAUAUUUAUUAAACUAUAAUAUAGGUGUCCUAAGGGGGGCUUAUAGAGAAUAGAAAUCUCUAGUAAAAUAAAAGGGUAAAAGUCCCCUUAAUUUUGAUUUUUAGUGUAAAUAUAAACCAUAAAAGUGUAGCCUAUUAAUCCUUUAGUCCCUUAAUAUUUAAGGCUAGAGGUGCUAGAAAAGUUACUAUAGGGAUAACUAGCUUAUAGUAGCUAAGCGUUUAUAGUAACAUUGCUUUUUAAUCCUUUAAUAUUAGCUUUUCCUAUUAUACUAAAGUAGAAUUUAGUAAGCAUUAGAUUAUUUACUUACUAGAGUUUAGUUAGUAGGGAUAGUUAGGUCUUAGAUUAGUUCUAAGAUUACGCUAGCUAGUUAAUAUAGCGUAGAACUAUAGGGGCUAUGUGGUAAUAUAACUUAGAUUAGGGGAGGCUAAGGCCUAGUAGCUAUACUAAUCCUAAGGGAAGUCUUACUUAAGUAAUCUUUUAGGACCCUUAUAGAGCAUAGUAAGGUAUAGGUAGUUUUCUUAGGAGACUACUUAAGGGAUAUGCUAGACUUAUAGGAAACUAUGCUAAAUAUAAAAGACCUAUAAUCUAGAUUAUUUAGAGGGUAAUUAAGUGUAGGAGGAAAUACCUGCUAUAAGCCUAGUAAAAUUAUAUAGUUAGGGGAUAAGUUAUUCUAUGUGGUUAUUUAAAUAGGGAAUAUAAGCUAGGUUUAGACUAUUAUAAGAUAGGUUAGUUUUACCUUACUAAUAACCUUACUAUAAUAGUAAUUUAGCUUAGUAUAAGAGGAACUACUAAUUUAGAUAAUUAGUUUUUAUAGCUAUUUAACUAGGUAGUGCUAUAAAGCUACUAUCUACUAGAUAAUAGCUAAAUGCCUCUAAGUUAGAAUCUAUACUAGAAUAUAGUAAUACUACCCGCAUAUAUAGAUAGAUAAGAAUAGGCUCUAGCUUAGUAUCUUAGUAGGUAAUCUCUUUAUAGCGUAGGAAGCACGCUGUGGUAUUUUAUGUAUUAUAAUUUUAAUAUAAGUAGGGUUAAAUCCUUUAUAAAUAACUUAGCUAUGUAAAAUAGUCCUAUAAGUAGUAGAGUAGCCUUAUUAUUAUAAUCUACUAAGGGUAAGCUAUCCUUUGCCUUAAUUUCC
This is a non-coding RNA of Epichloe typhina E5819, 3716 nucleotides long. The record is from Rfam. Lineage: Eukaryota; Fungi; Ascomycota; Sordariomycetes; Hypocreales; Clavicipitaceae.